This 308-nucleotide long non-coding RNA is filed under the name Dromaius novaehollandiae (emu). RNAcentral's name for it is "lncRNA (ENSDNVG00000011724.1)". The record is from RNAcentral. Lineage: Eukaryota; Metazoa; Chordata; Aves; Casuariiformes; Dromaiidae.
CUUCUUUCUUGCAACCAUAUUACUACAUUUGACUGCAAAACUUUUCUUGACUGCAUGAGUCGACUUGCUUUUGUGCAAAGGAUAAUGGAUUUCUUCUCAUGUUGUUGGCAGAAGUGUUUGAAGACGCCCUCUGACUCACAGUAUUUUAGAUGGUUGGGAAAAGGGUGCUUUUGCAACCAUACCGAUGUUCCUGAACCAGGGGUUCAAACUCCAGCAUCAGGCCACAAUUUUUGGGACUGUUCAACUGGGGACCAAGCAGAAGCAACCRGAUAACAUCCAGUCUGUGAGCUGCUGGAUGGAUGAAGUCA